CAACUGGUCAUCAGUGAGGUGCCCAGCCCUUGGUGUGCUGAUGCUCAGGCCCUACCUGGCACCCUGGUCUCCUGCACUGAGCUGUGUGAGCUCUUCCACCCAGCAGAGCCCCUGACAUUGACCAGCAUAGAUGGUGACCCUGGAGGAAGACUUGCAUC
Molecule: long non-coding RNA, 158 nt
Organism: Sapajus apella (tufted capuchin)
Lineage: Eukaryota; Metazoa; Chordata; Mammalia; Primates; Cebidae
Exons: 3
Source: RefSeq, a predicted model, not a curated record